UGGGGAAUAUUGGACAAUGGGCGCAAGCCUGAUCCAGCCAUGCCGCGUGAGUGAUGAAGGCCCUAGGGUUGUAAAGCUCUUUCACCGGUGAAGAUAAUGACGGUAACCGGAGAAGAAGCCCCGGCUAACUUCGUGCCAGCAGCCGCGGUAAUACGAAGGGGGCUAGCGUUGUUCGGAUUUACUGGGCGUAAAGCGCACGUAGGCGGACUAUUAAGUCAGGGGUGAAAUCCCGGGGCUCAACCCCGGAACUGCCUUUGAUACUGGUGGUCUUGAGUUCGAGAGAGGUGAGUGGAAUUCCGGGUGUAGAGGUGAAAUUCGUAGAUAUUCGGAGGAACACCAGUGGCGAAGGCGGCUCACUGGCUCGAUACUGACGCUGAGGUGCGAAAGCGUGGGGAGCAAACAGG
RNAcentral lists this ribosomal RNA (404 nucleotides) under Actinomycetes bacterium. Its description in RNAcentral is "Actinobacteria bacterium partial 16S ribosomal RNA". It matches the Rfam family "Bacterial small subunit ribosomal RNA", at positions 355 to 776 of the family's 1533-position model. Lineage: Bacteria; Bacillati; Actinomycetota; Actinomycetes. The record is from RNAcentral.